UGGACCAAUAGACCAAACUACUCAGCCAUAACAGCGCUGUCUCCUCCAGGAGCCCAUGUGGACAAGGACGUUUAUGACAUCAAUGUUGGACCAGGACAUCCUAAAAGUGCAGCUGCUAUUACGGGUUGGUUUGUCCAACGAUUACGAGUCCUACAUGAGCUGAGCUCAGACCGGUGCAGUCCAGGUCGGUUUCUAUCC
Pygoscelis adeliae (Adelie penguin) is the source of this 198-nucleotide non-coding RNA. NCBI's taxonomy places the organism in Eukaryota, Metazoa, Chordata, Aves, Sphenisciformes, Spheniscidae. The record is from Rfam.